GAUGAAGAACGUAGCAAAAUGCGAUACUUGGUGUGAAUUGCAGAAUCCCGUGAACCAUCGAGUUUUUGAACGCAAGUUGCGCCCGAAGCCUUUUGGCCGAGGGCACGUCUGCCUGGGCGUCACGCAUCACGUCGCCCCCCACAAUUCUCCGUAAAGGGAACGUGUGUUUUGGGGGCGGAUAUUGGUCUCCCGUGCUCAUGGCGUGGUUGGCCGAAAUAGGAGUCCUUUCGAUGGACGCACGAACUAGUGGUGGUCGUAAAAACCCUCGUCUUUUGUUUCGUGCUGUUGCUCGCAAGGUAAACUCUUUAAAAACCCCAACGUGUCGUCUCUUGACGACGCUUCGACCGCGACCCCAGGUCAGGCGGGACUACCCGCUGAGUUUAAGCAUAUCAAUAAGCGGAGGA
Molecule: unclassified non-coding RNA, 404 nt
Filed under: soil metagenome
Description: partial contains 5.8S ribosomal RNA, internal transcribed spacer 2, and large subunit ribosomal RNA
Rfam family: 5.8S ribosomal RNA (bases 1-122)
Source: RNAcentral